CACUGGAAUUUAUCACAAAAAAAUAUCAACAAUGAAACGUCUUAAUUGUUGAGAGAUAAAAUUUCAAAAAUUAAAAAAUUGAAUAGAAAGAUCUGAAAGUGUUCUUUGAGGCAUAAUUAGAAAGAGUAUAAUUAACAAAGUAAAUUAGAAGCUACAAAACGAUGGAAAAUAAAGUGCUUAAUCUGAAAAAUCAUGCGGAAUCACCAGAUUUGUAGCGGUACAGUUUUCCUAACACGUGGAGGGUUGUGACAAAUCCGAUGAAGCAUAGGCUCAUAACCAGCACCACCGUCGGGUGGUUGUGGCGGAAGCUGUGGAUUGAGAUUGAGAAGCGCCUCUGGCCAUGUUGAAGGGAGAGAGAAAGAGGAUUUGGAAAAUGAGAAAUCAAGAAAUCAAAAGUGAAUAAAUGGGAUUGAAAGAAAAAUAACAAGAGGACAAGAAUAAUGAUGAAAAUUUUGUAUUAUUUGGGGUUAUUAUUUAACACUUUUUUAGGGAUUUUGUAUUAUUUAAUACUUUCUGCUUAUCCAAUC
This is a non-coding RNA of Lupinus albus (white lupine), 527 nucleotides long. NCBI's taxonomy places the organism in Eukaryota, Viridiplantae, Streptophyta, Magnoliopsida, Fabales, Fabaceae. The record is from the annotation of a GenBank genome assembly.